This 1249-nucleotide long non-coding RNA is filed under the name Marmota monax (woodchuck). Lineage: Eukaryota; Metazoa; Chordata; Mammalia; Rodentia; Sciuridae. The record is from RNAcentral.
AAGCUACCAAAGCAGAACUAUAGUAGAAAAAAGCCAGUGAGUUUUAAAUUUUUAAAUUUUUCAUUUUUAACCUAUUUUUCUAUAAGAGUGAACGUUUAUUGACAUUUACCAAAUCAUUGUUUGAAAAUUAAACAUUUAUGACAUUGAUGUGUUUGUGUAUCAGGAAUGAAAAAUGACUUAAAAUUUACCUUUUUCUAUGUAUUUUGAGAUAUUAGAAACUGACAAAAAUAUCAGGAUUUUUUACUUGUCAGAAUUAAACCAAAGCAUCUCCUCAGUAGGAAAGAUGGCAGUUAGGUUAUCAUAAGUAUUGUGCAAAAAUAAAAUAAAAUAAAACCCUACCAUAGUUGAUAUAAACCAGAAUCAAAUGCUAAAAAGCAGUUUCCUUAAAGAUUACAUCUUUUCAUAAUAAUUUGUUUUGUAAAAUGUACCUUUUACAACAUAACCAUAAAAAAUAAAUAGGAAGAAAAACACAGUUAAUGGAGGGAAUCUUUAUUCUGAUGAAUGAAAACAUAAAUUAAAGUCUCAGCUGAAACAUGAUCAUGAUUGGGACUAUAUGACUCAUAAUGAAGACAGCUCGUAUCAAGUGAUUUGUUGUGUUUUUCCUUCUUUUUUAACUGCCGUAGACAUUAAGUGUACACUUUCCAGUUUUCUGGGGUUUUUUAUAUCCUGGAUUAUCAAAAUUUUUAUAACUUGUUGAUAUUAGAAGUUACCUAUUGAGUUCAAAUACACAUUUAAAAAUUUAAAAAUUAUACUUAAAAUCUUUAAAAUAUUAUAUUAAACUAAUACAACACUCAAUUCUUUGUACACGUACAGGAUUUGACUUAAACUUACUAAAUUUAUGAUUUUUCUUAGGUUUAAUUCUGUUCAUAUUCCCCUGUAUAGCUAGUUGAAUACAUUUGUACACUGUUACAUAAAUUUUGAGAUGAAACUAUAAUUGGCUUUCUGGAAACAAAAGCUCUAUUUAGUUGUAAAAGGAAGUCCUUUAAUCUAUUUGGUAUUUCUUGAAGUGGUACUAUAAUUUAUAUGGUUGAAUUUCAUUUGCACAAAUAGUUUUCCUCAGAUAAAAUGAAUUUUAAUUAAUAACAAAGUUUAUUUAAGUUCUUACAGUAUUUAUAAUAAAGCCAACCAUUUAACUGGUCUUUUAUUUUUUUGCCACUGAAAUCGGGACCCAGCAGGUGCUUGAUUAAUACUUGUUCACUGAGUGGUUUAAUUUGAUAUUUCAAUUUGAAAAUAAAAUGUACAAAUUAAA